UUGAAAGGGAAACGAUUGAAGUCAGUCGUACCGUCGGGAAAUCAACUUUUUGAGCGCUUGUCGUGGGUGACUUUGAGCUUCGCGGCCUUCGUUGCUUUGCGUUAUGGUGCUUUUGGGGUGUACUUUUCCGUAUGGUAGGUCAAUAUCGAUUUUGAUCGUCAUAAAAUGAUCGGAGGAAUGUGGCUUCGAUCUCGUAUCGGAGUGUUAUAGCCUUUGGUAGAUGUGACGAUUGGGAUCGAGGAUUGCAACGAAUACCCUUUGGGCUAUCCGUCUGACCUCUGAAAGUCGCUCGGGUGUCGAAAGCGUGCUUAUGACAUUCUAGUUGGCGGUCAAAAGGUUAGAACGCGAUUACAUUCGUUAAGGAUGUUGACGUA
This 374-nucleotide ribosomal RNA is filed under the name Glomus sp. hr11. RNAcentral describes it as "eukaryotic LSU rRNA". Lineage: Eukaryota; Fungi; Glomeromycota; Glomeromycetes; Glomerales; Glomeraceae. The record is from RNAcentral.